GAUGAACGCUGGCGGCGUGCCUAACACAUGCAAGUCGAGCGAUCUUCUUCGGAAGAGAGCGGCGGACGGGUGAGUAACGCGUGGGUAACCUGCCCUGUACACACGGAUAACAUACCGAAAGGUAUGCUAAUACGGGAUAACAUAAGAAAUUCGCAUGUUUUUCUUAUCAAAGCUCCGGCGGUACAGGAUGGACCCGCGUCUGAUUAGCUAGUUGGUGAGGUAACGGCUCACCAAGGCGACGAUCAGUAGCCGACCUGAGAGGGUGAUCGGCCACAUUGGAACUGAAACACGGUCCAAACUCCUACGGGAGGCAGCAGUGGGGAAUAUUGCACAAUGGGCGAAAGCCUGAUGCAGCAACGCCGCGUGAGCGAUGAAGGCCUUCGGGUCGUAAAGCUCUGUCCUCAAGGAAGAUAAUGACGGUACUUGAGGAGGAAGCCCCGGCUAACUACGUGCCAGCAGCCGCGGUAA
This 468-nucleotide ribosomal RNA is filed under the name uncultured bacterium. RNAcentral's name for it is "partial 16S ribosomal RNA". It matches the Rfam family "Bacterial small subunit ribosomal RNA", at positions 28 to 523 of the family's 1533-position model. The record is from RNAcentral.